This 1814-nucleotide ribosomal RNA is filed under the name Pinus taeda (loblolly pine). Its description in RNAcentral is "SSU rRNA". It matches the Rfam family "Eukaryotic small subunit ribosomal RNA". Lineage: Eukaryota; Viridiplantae; Streptophyta; Pinopsida; Pinales; Pinaceae. The record is from RNAcentral.
CCUGGUUGAUCCUACCAGUAGUCAUAUGCUUGUCUCAAAGACUAACCCAUGCAUGUCUAAGUAUGAACUAAUUCAAACAAUGAAACUACGAAUGGCUCAUUAAAUCAGUUAUAAUUUUUAUGAUAGUACCAUACUACUCUGAUAACCGUAACAAUUCUAGAGCUAAUACCUGCACCAAGUUUUGAAUCUUUGGAAGGGAUGCAUUUUUAGAUAAAAGGUUGGUGCAAGCUUGCCCACUUUUCUGGUGAAUCAUGAUAACGCGAUGGAUCACACAACCCUUGUGCUGGUGAUGCUUCAUUCAAAUUUCUUCCCUAUCAACUUUCGAUGGUAGGAUAGAGACCCACCAUGGUGGUCAUGGGUGAUGGAGAAUUAGAGUUUGAUUUAGGAGAGGGAGCUUGAGAAACAGUUACCAUGAGAAACAACUACCACAUCUAAGGAAGGUAGGAGGCAUGCAAAUUACCCAAUCUUGACAUGGGGAGGUAGUGACAAUAAAUAACAAUAUUGGGCUCAUCAAUUCUAGUAAUUGGAAUGAGUACAAUCAAAUUCCCUUAACGAGGAUCCAUUGGAGGGCACGUCUGGUGCCAAUAGCCAUGGUAAUUACAGCUCCAAUAGCAUAUAUUUAAGUGUUGCUGUUAAAAAUCUUGUAGUUGGAUCUUGGAUCAUAAAAGUUAGUCCGUCUACUCCAUGUGCACUACCCUUCCGUUCCUUUUGUCGGCAGCAUGCUCCUGGCCUUAAUUGGCUAGGUCGCAGCUCCGGCGUUGUUACUUUGAAAAAAUUAGAGUGUUCAAAGCAAGCUUAUGGCUUGAAUACAUUAGCAUGGAAUAAUGUGAUAGGAGUCUGGUCUAUUCUGUUGGCCUUUGGGACCGGAGUAAUGAUUGAUAGGGACUAUUAGGGGCAUUCAUAUUUCAUUGUCAGAGGUGAAAUUCUUGGAUUUAUGAACGACAAACCACUACAAAAGCAUUUGCCAAGGAUAUUUCCAUUAAUCAAGAAUGAAAUUUAGCGGCUCGAAGAUGAUCACAUACUAUCCUAGUCAUAACCAUAAAUGAUGUUGACCAGAGAUCAAUGGAUAUUUCUCUAAGGACUCCCCCAACACCUUUUGAGAAAUCAGAGUGUUUGGGUUCCAGGGGGAGUAUGGUCUCAAGGAUGAAACUUAAAGGAAUUUAUGGAAGGGCACCACCACGAGUGGAACCUGCAACUUAAAUUCACUCAACAUGGGGAAACUUACCAUGUCCAGACAUAGUAAGGAUUGACAAAUUGAGAGCUCUUUCUUCAUUCUAUGGGUGGUGGUGCAUGGACGUUCUUAGUUGGUGGAGUGAUUUGUUUGGUUAAUUCUGAUAACGAAUGAGACCUCAGCCUGCUAACUAGAUACGCAUAGGUUCCCCUUCAUGUUCAGCUUCCUAGAGGGACUAUGACCAUUUAGGCCAUGGAAGUUUGAUGAAAUAAUAGGUAUGUACUGCCCUUAGAUGUUUUCGCCGCACACGUGCUACAUUGAUGUAGCCAACAAGUUUUUCUUCCUGGUUCAAGAGGAUCAGGAAAUCUUCUCAAAUUGAAUUGUGAUGGAGAUAGACCAUUGCAUUUAUUGGUAUUCAACAAGGAAUUGCUAGUAAGAGCAUGUCAUCAACUUGUGUUGACUACAUCCCUGUCCUUUGUGCACACUACUCGUCACUCCUACCGAUUGAAUGAUAUGGUGAAGUGAUCGGAUUGCUUAAAAAAUGGUGGUUCGUCGUCGUUGACAUCAUGAGAAGUUAAUUAAAGGUUAUCAUUUAGAGGAAGGAAAAGUUGUAAAAAGGUUACCAUAGGUGAACCUGCAAUAG